This is a long non-coding RNA of Dermacentor andersoni, 727 nucleotides long. RefSeq lists it as uncharacterized. The record is from RefSeq and is a predicted model, not a curated record. NCBI's taxonomy places the organism in Eukaryota, Metazoa, Arthropoda, Arachnida, Ixodida, Ixodidae.
ACGACAAACUAUUCAAACCCACCAUAAAAAAUUUUACGCUUCAUAAGUUCGCUACACGAGGAUAUUUAUUUACAUGAUUUAUUAAUUAUACACUGUAUCUGAUGUUUUUUUUAUUAUCUCUUUUUUUUUUACUGCACAUAUGUUUAGCUAGGCUGAGCCAAGCCGAGCCAGCGCCAAGCGAGGCGGGCGGGAAUGCUAAACGCUGUACGCCGACUUUCGGAUCCUACCAACGUGGUUACGAACUUUAAUUCCACUUUUGUGAACAUCUUCAUUACGUGCAUCGUUCCCUACACGUAUCCGUGUUCAAGCUUACCGUUUUGUUGGUUUCACGCUGGCUGUGUACUUGGACUAGAAGGGAAACUUGGACGAGUUCGUGGUAAUUCAUGUUUUGGAAAAUAACAGCGCUAAACAGACAAGGACUUCUUCUUUGCCUAAGUCCUUGGCUGUUUAGCGCUAUUACUUUCCAAAACAUGUAUACUUGGAUUUUAGCCCAAAUGCAAGUGCGAAAAAAAAAAGAAAACUGAAGGAAGCAAUGGCGUACAACAGUGCAUUGGUCCCAUGUACUUGAUGUCGCCCUGUUCUCAGUAGCGCCUGUGCCCGGCGAAGGUUUGAAGACGCAAGUUGCUGCUUUUUUUCUUUUUUGAAAAACAAAUUUGUGGAUCUAAGAAAGGUUGUCAAAUCUUCUUUUUAGACUCACUGUUGAUCGAAUAAAGCUGUGUAACUUUCA